Molecule: ribosomal RNA, 755 nt
Filed under: uncultured Diversispora
Lineage: Eukaryota; Fungi; Glomeromycota; Glomeromycetes; Diversisporales; Diversisporaceae
Description: SSU rRNA
Rfam family: Eukaryotic small subunit ribosomal RNA
Source: RNAcentral
GGCCUACCAUGGUUUUAACGGGUAACGGGGAAUUAGGGUUCGAUUCCGGAGAGGGAGCCUGAGAAACGGCUACCACAUCCAAGGAAGGCAGCAGGCGCGCAAAUUACCCAAUCCCGACACGGGGAGGUAGUGACAAUAAAUAACAAUACGGGGCUCAUUUGGGUCUCGUAAUUGGAAUGAGUACAAUUUAAAUCCCUUAACGAGGAACAAUUGGAGGGCAAGUCUGGUGCCAGCAGCCGCGGUAAUUCCAGCUCCAAUAGCGUAUAUUAAAGUUGUUGCAGUUAAAAAGCUCGUAGUUGAACUUCGGGGUUUACCCAUUGGUCAGGCUUAAUUGUCUGUACUGGUGAGAUGAAUCUCUACCUUCUGAGGAACUUUCAUGCCAUUUAUUUGGUGUGAUGGGAAAUCAGGACUGUUACUUUGAAAAAAUUAGAGUGUUUAAAGCAGGCUAACGUCUGAAUACAUUAGCAUGAAAUAAUGAAAUAGGACGGACUGAUUCUAUUUCGUUGGUUUCUAGGAUCACCGUAAUGAUUAAUAGGGAUAGUUGGGGGCAUUAGUAUUCAAUUGUCAGAGGUGAAAUUCUUGGAUUUAUUGAAGACUAACUACUGCGAAAGCAUUUGCCAAGGAUGUUUUCAUUAAUCAAGAACGAAAGUUAGGGGAUCGAAGACGAUCAGAUACCGUCGUAGUCUUAACCAUAAACUAUGCCGACUAGGGAUCGGACGAAGUUAAUUUUAUAAUGACGCGUUCGGCACCUUACG